This 3586-nucleotide long non-coding RNA is filed under the name Brassica rapa (field mustard). Its description in RNAcentral is "long non-coding RNA (BRAP_LNC000085)". Lineage: Eukaryota; Viridiplantae; Streptophyta; Magnoliopsida; Brassicales; Brassicaceae. The record is from RNAcentral.
UUGAUGUUACUGACGUUUUUAUCUUUGAUUUGUUGUGCAAUGUUUUAGGUAAGGUUCACGGUUCAUUGGCUCGUGCCGGUAAGGUGAGAGGACAGACACCUAAAGUCGCUAAGCAGGACAAGAAGAAGAAGCCACGUGGUCGUGCUCACAAGCGUCUUCAGCACAACCGCCGUUUCGUCACCGCCGGUAAUAAAUAUUUUCCCUUUUUCUCUUAGAUUUUAUGACUGAUUAAGGACAUUAGUUAGUUGGCACUUGUGUCUGAAUACAUUAUCGUUAUUGAAUAAUGUAAUCGUUGCUAGUACUUAUGGUUCUUCUUGGUAACAUAUCCACAGUUUAUAAAGUCUUGUAUAACAUAUGUUAGUGAUUCUCUUCUUUGCUAGCAUGUUAAGAGUAUCAGCCUCUGUAAUGAUUCUUGUUAACCAAACUAACUACAUUGUACAUACAAAGAAACCAUCACGGUCCAUUUUCUAGAUUCAUUCAACCAAGUUGUAUGUGCAUUUAAUUUCCGUUUUGUAGAUUCCUCCAUUUUUGGUUUACAUCCUAUAUAGCUUAUCAUAUGUGAAAUGAGACUUUUGUAAUUUGCAGUGAAUUUUUGUUGCUUAUGAAUAUUUAAUUGUCACAAAAAAGUAUAAACUUCAACACUAAACAAAGUGAUUCUUAAAAGUUUUUUCUUGAUUUCUUGUUUGCAGUUGUUGGAUUUGGCAAGAAGAGAGGACCCAACUCUUCUGAGAAAUAGAUGAUGAACGCAUUGGAGUUGAAGUUUUGAGUUUUUAUUUUCCAAAAAAUAUCGUACUUCUUUAAUGUUGUAAGACUGCAAUUUUCUCAAUCAAAUCGACUUUUUUGAUAAUUUGUUCUAAUUCAUUCAAUGCUCGGUAACGUAAACUACAAACCUCAUCAUAGAAACUGCCUAGUCUAUGAAAAUCAUGUAACAUGGAGCCGUGGAGGGAUUAGUAUGAGCUGUAACGUAGUUUUAACUGCGGUAGAGUGAUUUAAAACAAGAAGCAAACUGUUAGUUUUAUCAUUUGUUUUAAUCAAACAAAAGAAAAGUUUUUACAAGUAAAUAAACAUAAGCUAAAGAUACAAAGCUAAAAAGUUUCUUUUAGCAUCUGAUGUUAACAAUAAAAGAAACGGUAGAGAAGAAGAAACACUAUAACAACACUGUACAUACAAAGGAAACCAUCACGGUUUUUCUUUUACUUCCAGACCUUGAUCGCUCCAUCUCUGCUGCUUGAUAUUAACAGUCUCUGGUUCAGCUUCACUGAUGCCAGAGACUGAACUGAGUCACGGUGACAUCCUGCUGUGUCUGUUGCAGCCGCUGCAAGUACUGCCUUUGCCGUCAGUUUGGUUGCCAGAGGCCGCCUCAUUGUCUCCUGCCAAAGACACACGAACAAUUGCAUUACAAAAGUUAGUCAAGCGCUUAACGAUAGUUAUAGUGUGGUGUGACCUUGAACUGUUACGAUUAGUGUGUUGCGUCUAAUCAAAGAUAAGAGUUAAUCAACGGACCUGAACAAACUGCACUCCAGAGUUGGUUUUGAGUUCGUAGAAAUCAUCAUUUACGACUCCCUUCAAACUCGGACCACAGAUACAGUAACUUCUCUCAGGGCUAUGUUGGUUCAAACACACAGAAAACAAGAAUUUGCGUCAGGUUUUUGUUUAUUUAUCCACAAGAAGUGUGACAAAAUAUAAAGAACACAAGUUCAAGGUUUUAGAUUAAAGAACCUGGAGUAAUCCCAACGCCGAAUCUUCAAGUCAGUACCACCUGUUAACAAGUCGCCUCCGGGUAAAGGAAGCAACGAGCGGAUACCAGGAAGACGAGGAGGAGGCUCGUUCAACUCUUCGAUUCUAUACUUGGAGCUCAUGUUCUUGCGAAUAUUCGCCUUGGGAUUUGCCUUACUGCUUGGUAGCUUCCACUGAAACUCGGAAACAUUCGUCUCAUUUUCAUAGUUGGCUACUCUCCAUACCUACAGAAUCAGCUCAUUUAUAAGUCUCAAACUCAAUGCUAUGGUCUAAUUUAUUAAAACCUGAGUUACUUCCAUGGACUAACAUCAAAGUUGAAACCCCCAAUGACUAUUAAAACUAUCUAAAUCUGUUCCACUCUAUAGUUCAUAGUUUCUAUUCAAACUUGUAAGAUCCCAGUAAAAUGGUAAAACAACAUUACCUGUUGACAGAUGCCUCCAUCUGCAUUCCAGAGCGUAACUUCAUUGAAACCAGCAGCAACAUAAAUAAAAGGUCUCAUCGUGGUGGACAGCGAGACGCUCGGAGGAAGAAAGCAGAGACACAUCUUUUCUAUGGGGCAUAUUAUAGGGUAUUGCCACGAAUAUACAGGAACACGAAACCUCAAAUCCCAAAGAGUAAGCACUCCCCUUGAAGACCCAGACACGAACCAAUUCCCGCAUGGGCUUGUCACCAAAGAAGACACGUAUCCUUCUUCAGGGUUUGCUUUCAGCGUCCACGCAUCUAUAUCUGAUCUUGUAUCCCAAAGGUGGAUCCCACAGUUUUGGGUACUAUACAUUACCAUAGGGCCAGAUAGGCUAUCAGAGGUGUAGUUCAAAAGAGAAAGCAAAGCGCCUUCUUUAACAUCCUUGUUUUUGAUAUCAACAAUGCCUGAGUACUUCUCCACCACGUUCCCCAAGCCUCUGGAGAUAUGGUCAAUGGAAAACAUAUGUAACACACCAUCGGAGGCUCCAACGACAACUUGAGUUGAAUUCCUAAGCAUUGUUGUGCACAUCCCUCUGCUUCCCUCGAGAUGAUAUGUUAGCCUUGACCUGAACGAAAUGUCCUUUUCCAGCUUUCUAGAGUCCCACACCUUUACUGUAGAAUCAUCUGAUGCACUAACAAAGAAGCUAUGAUCGCUUGAAGUGGCAAUGUCGUUGACAGCAGAGCGGUGCUCUUGUAGAUGAGCGACUAAUACUCCACGAGGCUUCCAACCUGAAUCCGGAACCGACGUCCUCGACGGAGAUGGUUCUCCUACGAGAUCCGAUAUUGAAAGAGACAGAGUUUAUCAUAUUACGUAAGUGUACACGAAGCUGACGUCACAUAAGCAGAUAAUGAUAUAAAAGCCCAUUGGGCCAAUAUGGUGAAUUGAAUGGGCUUCUGAACUAUAAAAGCGGUUAAACACCAACUCAAAUAAUGGCGGGGAUUCUAACUAAGAAUAACAAUUUAAGCCCAUUAAGAGAUCACUAAUGGGCCGUAUCCGAACUGAUCGUCAUCGUCCUCAUCACUUAAAUAUCAUUCACGGAAGAAAACCCUAGUCCAUCAAAAGCUGUCGUCGUCACACAUUUGCCGGAGGUAGCGCCGAUCCAUUCGUCAAAACAACUAUGGGUGAGUUCUCUUGAGUCUGUUCUGGCUGAUUUUUUGUUGUUGUUGUUGAUGUUACUGACGUUUUUAUCUUUGAUUUGUUGUGCAAUGUUUUAGGUAAGGUUCACGGUUCAUUGGCUCGUGCCGGUAAGGUGAGAGGACAGACACCUAAAGUCGCUAAGCAGGACAAGAAGAAGAAGCCACGUGGUCGUGCUCACAAGCGUCUUCAGCACAACCGCCGUUUCGUCACCGCCGGUAAUAAAUAUUUUCCCUUUUUCUCUUAGAUUUU